UACGGAGGGAGCAAGCGUUGUCCGGAAUCAUUGGGCGUAAAGCGCGCGUAGGUGGCCCCGUAAGUCCGCUGUGAAAGUCAAAGGCUCAACCUUUGAAAGCCGGUGGAUACUGUGGGACUAGAGUACGGAAGAGGCGAGUGGAAUUCCUGGUGUAGCGGUGGAAUGCGCAGAUAUCAGGAGGAACACCAAUAGCGAAGGCAGCUCGCUGGGACGUUACUGACACUGAGGCGCGAAAGCGUGGGGAGCGAACAGG
Molecule: ribosomal RNA, 253 nt
Filed under: uncultured bacterium
Lineage: Bacteria
Description: partial 16S ribosomal RNA
Rfam family: Bacterial small subunit ribosomal RNA
Source: RNAcentral